This 497-nucleotide ribosomal RNA is filed under the name uncultured bacterium. RNAcentral describes it as "partial 16S ribosomal RNA". It matches the Rfam family "Bacterial small subunit ribosomal RNA", at positions 28 to 507 of the family's 1533-position model. The record is from RNAcentral.
GAUGAACGCUGGCGGCGUGCCUAAUACAUGCAAGUCGAGCGAACAGACGAGGAGCUUGCUCCUCUGAUGUUAGCGGCGGACGGGUGAGUAACACGUGGAUAACCUACCUAUAAGACUGGGAUAACUUCGGGAAACCGGAGCUAAUACCGGAUAACAUGUUGAACCGCAUGGUUCAACAGUGAAAGACGGUCUUGCUGUCACUUAUAGAUGGAUCCGCGCCGCAUUAGCUAGUUGGUAAGGUAACGGCUUACCAAGGCAACGAUGCGUAGCCGACCUGAGAGGGUGAUCGGCCACACUAGAACUGAGACACGGUCCCGACUCCUACGGGAGGCCGCAGUAGGGAAUCUUCCGCAAUGCGCGAAAGCCUGACGGAGCAACGCCGCGUGAGUGAAGAAGGUCUUCGGAUCGUAAAACUCUGUUAUUAGGGAAGAACAAAUGUGUAAGUAACUAUGCACGUCUUGACGGUACCUAAUCAGAAAGCCACGGCUAACUACGUG